GCCAGGCACGGUGACACGUGCCUGUAGUCCCAGCUACUGCGGAGGCUGAGACUGGAGGAUCACUUGAGUUCAGGAGUUCUGGGCUGUAGUGCACUAUGCCAGUCGGGUGUCCACACUAAGUUCGGCAUCAAUAUUGUGAUGUCCCGGGAGCAGGGGACCACCAGGUUGUCUAAGGAGGGGUGAACCAGGUAGGUCGGAAACAGAGCAGGUCAAAACUCCUGUGCUGAUCAGUAGUGGGAUUGCGUCUGUGAAUAGCCACUGGACUCCAGCCUGGGCAGCAUUGUAAGAUCCCAUCUCU
RNAcentral lists this signal recognition particle RNA (298 nucleotides) under Cebus imitator (Panamanian white-faced capuchin). RNAcentral describes it as "Metazoan signal recognition particle RNA (ENSCCAG00000004778.1)". It matches the Rfam family "Metazoan signal recognition particle RNA". From Rfam's summary of the family: The signal recognition particle (SRP) is a universally conserved ribonucleoprotein. It is involved in the co-translational targeting of proteins to membranes. The record is from RNAcentral. Lineage: Eukaryota; Metazoa; Chordata; Mammalia; Primates; Cebidae.